GUUAUAGUGAUGAAGAGGACAAGAGCUAUUAGGACGGUUAUCAGAGAGGGAAGAAAAGGUGCGAUCUUCCUAACGCAGCGUAAUAGCUUACCACCUUGGAGCUGCAUGGGCGAAAUAUGAGUAGUUCAUGCCGUGUGCUACGAUACAGCAAACCAAGGCCAUUACUUUGAAAGGUAGUGGGAAAUUGGGUGGAACCGCGGGUAAAACCAUACUCGUCCCUUAU
RNAcentral lists this non-coding RNA (223 nucleotides) under Salimicrobium jeotgali. RNAcentral's name for it is "T-box sequence". It matches the Rfam family "T-box leader". Rfam says of the family: Uncharged tRNA acts as the effector for transcription antitermination of genes in the T-box leader family. T-boxes are found upstream of many aminoacyl-tRNA synthetase genes and some amino acid biosynthetic genes usually in Gram-positive bacteria. The record is from RNAcentral. Lineage: Bacteria; Bacillati; Bacillota; Bacilli; Caryophanales; Bacillaceae.